CUACGGGGUGCUCCAGUGGGGAAUAUUGCACAAUGGGCGCAAGCCUGAUGCAGCCAUGCCGCGUGUAUGAAGAAGGCCUUCGGGUUGUAAAGUACUUUCAGCGGGGAGGAAGGGAGUAAAGUUAAUACCUUUGCUCAUUGACGUUACCCGCAGAAGAAGAACCGGCUAACUCCGUGCCAGCAGCCGCGGUAAUACGGAGGGUGCAAGCGUUAAUCGGAAUUACUGGGCGUAAAGCGCACGCAGGCGGUUUGUUAAGUCAGAUGUGAAAUCCCCGGGCUCAACCUGGGAACUGCAUCUGAUACUGGCAAGCUUGAGUCUCGUAGAGGGGGGUAGAAUUCCAGGUGUAGCGGUGAAAUGCGUAGAGAUCUGGAGGAAUACCGGUGGCGAAGGCGGCCCCCUGGACGAAGACUGACGCUCAGGUGCGAAAGCGUGGGGAGCAAACAGGAUUAGAUACCCUUGUAGUC
This 464-nucleotide ribosomal RNA is filed under the name uncultured bacterium. Its description in RNAcentral is "partial 16S ribosomal RNA". It matches the Rfam family "Bacterial small subunit ribosomal RNA", at positions 339 to 795 of the family's 1533-position model. The record is from RNAcentral.